UACGGGGGGGGCAAGCGUUGUUCGGAAUUACUGGGCGUAAAGGGCUCGUAGGCGGUCUGUUGCGUCUGCUGUGAAAACCCGGGGCUUAACCCCUGGCUUGCAGUGGAUACGGACAGACUAGAGGUAGGUAGGGGAGAAUGGAAUUCCCGGUGUAGCGGUGAAAUGCGCAGAUAUCGGGAGGAACACCGGUGGCGAAGGCGGUUCUCUGGGCCUUACCUGACGCUGAGGAGCGAAAGCGUGGGGAGCGAACAGG
RNAcentral lists this ribosomal RNA (253 nucleotides) under uncultured bacterium. RNAcentral describes it as "partial 16S ribosomal RNA". It matches the Rfam family "Bacterial small subunit ribosomal RNA", at positions 524 to 776 of the family's 1533-position model. The record is from RNAcentral.